RNAcentral lists this ribosomal RNA (443 nucleotides) under uncultured bacterium. Its description in RNAcentral is "partial 16S ribosomal RNA". It matches the Rfam family "Bacterial small subunit ribosomal RNA", at positions 338 to 795 of the family's 1533-position model. The record is from RNAcentral.
CCUACGGGGGGCAGCAGUGGGGAAUAUUGGGCAAUGGGCGCAAGCCUGACCCAGCAACGCCGCGUGAAGGAAGAAGGCCCUCGGGUUGUAAACUUCUUUUGUCAGGGACGAAACAAAUGACGGUACCUGACGAAUAAGCCACGGCUAACUACGUGCCAGCAGCCGCGGUAAUACGUAGGUGGCAAGCGUUAUCCGGAUUUACUGGGUGUAAAGGGCGUGUAGGCGGGAGAGCAAGUCAGAUGUGAAAACUACGGGCUUAACUUGUAGACUGCAGUUGAAACUGGUUUUCUUGAGUGAAGUAGAGGUUGGCGGAAUUCCGAGUGUAGCGGUGAAAUGCGUAGAUAUUCGGAGGAACACCGGUGGCGAAGGCGGCCAACUGGGCUUUAACUGACGCUGAGGCUCGAAAGUGUGGGGAGCAAACAGGAUUAGAUACCCCGGUAGUC